CAAUGGUGUUUGUGCUAACCCUUGACUUGUUGUCUUGAUCUAAUGUGAUUGGGUUUAAAUCUAUAAUUAAAUAGGUGGCUUAUCUUAUUUUUAUAAAAAAGUUUCAUAUGAAAUCAUCCUCCUCCACAUCAAAAUGCCAUGCAUAAAAUAAAUCCAUGGCCCAUUUAAUUUUGGCAUUAAAGAAGAGGAGUCCUUUCAUACUCCUCUUAAAUUCCUUCCUUUAUUUCAUGCGUUCCUUUAUUUCCAUGCAUCAUCUGAUGACUUUUAAGAUAUAUGGGCAC
Molecule: long non-coding RNA, 281 nt
Filed under: Elaeis guineensis (African oil palm)
Lineage: Eukaryota; Viridiplantae; Streptophyta; Magnoliopsida; Arecales; Arecaceae
Description: long non-coding RNA (EGUI_LNC047115)
Source: RNAcentral